UUAGAUCUUCGUGUCCUCUAAAGUUUAAGAAGUUGAAAGAUGCAGAGAAGCUGUUGAGAAGAUUAAUAAAAGAAGCAGCGAAGAAGUUUAUUAAUGGAGAAGGUAAGUUCGGGACUCUGUUAACAAAGCUUCAAAUGAUCCAACAAUGGCAGUGGAAGAAAUGGAUAGUUCUUUUCUGAAAUUCACUAUGAAAAAUAAGAGGAAAAAAGUAUCGUAAUCAUCAUCAAAACUUACCACAGCUUCAUUCAAGUUUUUCGUCUACAAGUUUCAGACUAAUAAACCUAAAACCCUC
This 292-nucleotide long non-coding RNA is filed under the name Carica papaya (papaya). Its description in RNAcentral is "long non-coding RNA (CPAP_LNC004952)". The record is from RNAcentral. Lineage: Eukaryota; Viridiplantae; Streptophyta; Magnoliopsida; Brassicales; Caricaceae.